UCCGUAGGUGGAUAAUUAAGUCAGAGGUGAAAUCCUGCAGCUCAACUGUAGAAUUGCCUUUGAUACUGGUUAUCUUGAGUCAUCAUGAAGUGGUUAGAAUGUGUAGUGUAGCGGUGAAAUGCAUAGAUAUUACACAGAAUACCGAUUGCGAAGGCAGAUCACUAAUAAUGUACUGACACUGAGGGACGAAAGCGUGGGGAGCGAACAGGAUUAGAUACCCUGGUAGUCC
Molecule: ribosomal RNA, 229 nt
Filed under: uncultured bacterium
Lineage: Bacteria
Description: partial 16S ribosomal RNA
Rfam family: Bacterial small subunit ribosomal RNA
Source: RNAcentral